Molecule: ribosomal RNA, 448 nt
Filed under: Enterococcus italicus
Lineage: Bacteria; Bacillati; Bacillota; Bacilli; Lactobacillales; Enterococcaceae
Description: bacterial SSU rRNA
Rfam family: Bacterial small subunit ribosomal RNA
Source: RNAcentral
GACGAACGCUGGCGGCGUGCCUAAUACAUGCAAGUUGAACGCUUCUUUCUUAUCGAACUUCGGUUCACCAAGAAAGAGGAGUAGCGAACGGGUGAGUAACACGUGGGUAACCUGCCCAUCAGCGGGGGAUAACACUUGGAAACAGGUGCUAAUACCGCAUAAUGCUUUUUCUCACAUGAGAGAAAGCUGAAAGGCGCUUUUGCGUCACUGAUGGAUGGACCCGCGGUGCAUUAGCUAGUUGGUAGGGUAACGGCCUACCAAGGCAACGAUGCAUAGCCGACCUGAGAGGGUGAUCGGCCACACUGGGACUGAGACACGGCCCAGACUCCUACGGGAGGCAGCAGUAGGGAAUCUUCGGCAAUGGACGAAAGUCUGACCGAGCAACGCCGCGUGAGUGAAGAAGGUUUUCGGAUCGUAAAAACUCUGUUGUUAGAGAAGAAACAAAGGA